RNAcentral lists this ribosomal RNA (422 nucleotides) under uncultured bacterium. Its description in RNAcentral is "bacterial SSU rRNA". It matches the Rfam family "Bacterial small subunit ribosomal RNA", at positions 355 to 774 of the family's 1533-position model. The record is from RNAcentral.
UGAGGAAUAUUGGACAAUGGGUGAAAACCUGAUCCAGCCAUGCCGCGUGCAGGAAGACGGCCCUAUGGGUUGUAAACUGCUUUUGUAUGGGAGCAAUAAGCUCUACGCGUAGAGUGAUGAGAGUACCAUACGAAUAAGCAUCGGCUAACUCCGUGCCAGCAGCCGCGGUAAUACGUAGGGGGCAAGCGUUGUCCGGAAUUACUGGGCGUAAAGAGCACGUAGGCGGUAACCUAAGUCAGAUGGGAAAGACCAGGGCUUAACUCUGGGGUUGCAUACGAAACUGGGUAACUAGAGUGCAGGAGAGGAAAGUGGAAUUCCUAGUGUAGCGGUGAAAUGCGUAGAUAUUAGGAGGAACACCAGUGGCGAAGGCGGCCUGCUGGGCUUUUACUGACGCUGAGGCCCGAAAGUGUGGGUAGCAAACA